UUUGCUGUUGUUGUAGAGAGUGUGAGAAAUACAGAAAAAAAAAGCCAUGGCAGGAGCUUGCUUAUCUUCUUCUUGUUUGAGUUUUUCUACAAAAUUCAACACCCUUUCUCUCAAUGGACCACAUGCUGAUGCAUUUAGGUCACUCAGUUUUUCUGCUAACACUUCUCUCAAUCUGUUCUCUAAAGGGACUGUUUCAGUGAAUCCGGUGCAAAUGCCGUUUCGUCGUUCCAUUGUUUGUGAAGCUGCUCCAACAAAGAAAGCGGAUUCUGCUGCUAAAAGGGCAAGACAAGCUGAAAAGAGGAGAAUUUACCACAAGGCUAAAAAAUCUGAAGUCAGGACUAGAAUUAAGACUGUUUUGGAAGCAUUGGAGACAUUGAGGAAGAAAACUGAUGCAGAGUCAGAGGAAGUUGUUUCAGUUGAGAAGUUGAUUGCAGAGGCAUAUUCUGCAAUCGAUAAAGCAGUUAAAGUUGGAACACUUCACAGGAACACUGGUGCGAGAAGAAAAUCUCGUCUUGCUAGAAGAAAGAAAGCAGUUGAGAUUCAUCAUGGCUGGUAUGUUCCUGCUCCAGCCACUGAACCUGAUCUUGUAGCCACAGCUUGAUGUCAAUCCAUAUUUUUCAUAUUCAAUGUAAAGCAGUGACAUCUUGUGGAGAAUUCAACUUCCUAGAGUAUGAUCAGAUAUUUUUCAUUCUUG
This 694-nucleotide unclassified non-coding RNA is filed under the name Hevea brasiliensis (rubber tree). The record is from RNAcentral. Lineage: Eukaryota; Viridiplantae; Streptophyta; Magnoliopsida; Malpighiales; Euphorbiaceae.